Cucumis sativus (cucumber) is the source of this 576-nucleotide long non-coding RNA. RefSeq lists it as uncharacterized. Lineage: Eukaryota; Viridiplantae; Streptophyta; Magnoliopsida; Cucurbitales; Cucurbitaceae. The transcript is spliced from 2 exons. The record is from RefSeq and is a predicted model, not a curated record.
ACAAAGAUAUAUUUAAUUCAUUCCCGUGUCACGAUAGCCCCCAAAUUUCCCUGCACCGUUCCGGAACUGCAAUUUUGUAAAACUUUGAUUUAGGGUUUAUACCUCCUUCCAUUCUUCAAUCUCUUCGUCUGCUUCUGCUUUUUCUCUGGCGACAAUGGCGAACGAGCAACAAUCGACAGGAACCUGGACCCUCGAAACAAUACCUUUCAUUAUUCUUAUUCUCAUAGCAUCACACAUCUUCGCUUUGGUAUAUUGGAUUUAUAGGUUAGCAACUCAAAAACAACCUCCAAGGAGGAAGGCACACUGAGUUACACUACGAUUCGGUCUUGGAAGAAAUUUUAGUGGAACCCUAAUUCAUUAUUUGUUAUAAUUUAUGUCACUGAGGCAGUCAUAAAAAAGAAGCCAUAUAACGAUGUUUCUCUGUAAGUAUCCGUCAGUGUGUAUUCUCAGAAUCUCUGUUUGGUAUUGCAAGAAUGUUGGAAUGUUUCUUGCAAAUCAAAUUUGAUUUGUAUGGUUUUCAAUUCAUAAAUUUGAAGGUGAUCCAUUCACAUAUGUGUUAUCUUGUUUGGUUUUCGU